AGAAAUCGAAUAAAGCAGUUUUUGAAUCCUCAGCCUUGUCAAAAUCAUAAAAUAACGUCUAAAACAAAGGUUUCUAAUGUUAAAGUCUGGCAAUUUGUCACUUUCACCAUGAUUAAUAAACCCGCGUAUGCUCUUGUUCAAAUUCUGAAUCAUAAGUUGAACAGAAUGCAGCAACAUCACAGGAUUCUUAUCAAUUUGGCAGUUUCUGUGCCCUCAGCCUUUCUUCAUUUUACAGUGAUUUACCCUAGGAACAUCUGUCAAAUGAUGAACAGCGCAAUGCCAGAAGAACACUUUUGGAAUGGAAAUGUAAUAGUAUCAUUUGAAUAGAUGUACAGUCAAUUGCCAGUUUCUUUGCCUUUGGGGAGACAAUAUAGAUGCAUGAGGUCUGUAAAAAGCACUGUAAUUUCAAAGCCUCAUAUUAAUAAAUCGAUUCAUCAUCACCAACAUCUUGUUAAAAAAACAAAAACUUCAACUAGCAGAUUAACUUCUAUAUUUUGCACAAAGCAAUAACCAGAAAAUGCCUUAGCCUCUAGAAUUUCCCAGGUAUCCAAGAGAAUCGGUUCUGGUUCCUGUCCUUCCAUUCCAUUCUUUUGAAAAACCGUUAGAGCAGUUCACACAUUAGACAAUGGAGGAAUCUGAACCAAUCAAGCAAAUGUUGCCACGAUCAAGGAAGCCAAGAGAAGAAGAAGGCAAAAGCUAAGUCUCCUCGUUCCUCAAAACUUGUCAAAACAAAAUUCUGAGAAAGUGAUGUAGGCUUGUCUGUGAGCCUGGAUAGAUGCUAAGGGGAGAGCUCAGAUGUGUCAUUCUCUGGAAAGAGUAUGGGGAAGGAAGUGCUGAAGCCAUGACCUGAGUGUGGGAAUUAGGAGAGGGGGCAUGAGAUUUUCUGUGCACUUUCCUCUUACACACAUGCGCAUACACACACACACACCUUCCCCAAUCCCACAUCCAAGGUUGGACGUGUGGAAGGAACAAAGUCCCAGCAUGAGAGCCAUUCUCAUAGGACAACCUGCCAUAAUCUUGCGCCCUCCUUUCCACCCCAUAAGCCAAAUAUCACUGAGGCUUGACUUAACUGGCUGCCCAUCAACAGGCUAUCCUAGCUGUACCCAUCACAUGCCUGGGAGGGAGAAAACUCCAUCAUGGGGAAGGAGUGCAAGGAGACUUGGAGAGAGAGGAGAGGGGAGUCUGGCUUCCUCCCAUCUCCAUCAAAUGAGUGAGGAUUAUGGAGCCUCUUCUAACAUACCCGAGAUAUAAUGAAAUCAUAAAAAGGCACACUCUUGGCAGAACAAAAUAAAGUGCCAUGUCUGUUUUCUGGUUGUGGGUGAAGAGCUGACCCAACAAUGGCCAAAAAAGGAAGGUUUGGGGAGGCGAGCCUGUGGGUGCACAUCGCUUCCGGGGGGAGCGUCUUUUCCUUUGCUCUCAUUCUCUGUAGCUGAUGAGAAAGCGUGGGAUGACAGCAAGCUUCUCCCUCAGACCCAGCAUCCACCUAGAGUCUUCACAGGAAGAAAUGGAGGCAAAUUCACUACCUUUUUCCUGCUGGGGCCUUGUGAGCGUCAGAGAAGACUAGGGAAGGGAUGAGAAGGGAGAAAUUCGGUGCACGGGCUCUUCAUCCUACAGUGCUGCCUUUUCACAAACAUGACUUCAGAGAGGAGGCAGGGCUGGGAGCCAAGUGUAGACCCAGCCCAGGGGAGGGGAGCCCUCAUGACAAGACUAUUUUACAUGGUAAAGGUUUAACUUUGUAGGGAUCGGGAAAAAGAGGAUGCAGCAAAACAGAUCCAGAACUAACCAGAGAGGGGCACACCUGACACUCUCUUCUUGCAACCUAGCAUGAAAUUAUCCCUCCUUCUCUAGGAUGUGAAGGCUGUGAGCGUGUGUGUGUGAACUGCACAACAGCCGUGGCCAAACACAAAUGUUCAAGCCUGCUGAAAUAAAUCAAUGUUUUGGCCUCCCCCGGCGACCACAGGAACAAAUGUGAUCUGAAAAAUAUUAUUAAAACUCAUAGCCCCAGGAAGUUGUCGGUUUGUGUGGCAAAAGUAAUUACAGAACUAAUUCCAUUGUGUCAUUGAAAAUGCCUUCAGCUUGAUAACCCACAGACAUGACGAGAACUGCUCCCUGUGAAAAGAAAAGCAAAUUUCCUGCUUUCUUUAAGUUGCUUUGGUCAGAAUUCUCCCUUCCUUUGUUAAAUCACAGGAUUUUGCCCACGAUGGUCAAUAUAAUAAAGGAGAUAAAUAGUCUGUGCCGUAGUUACCUUCAAGAUCGAUGUGAAAUGGGCACACAGACUAAUGGGGUCAAAUAAACAGAUACUGAUGGUCAGAGAAUACCUCAGACCCAUGGGUCCCAAACCACCUGAGCACCAAAUCACCUAGGAGGUUUGUAAAACUACAUAUAUCCACCUCCACUCCCAGAUGUCCUGAUUCAACUCAUCUGCCUAAAACCAAGGCAUUCAUAUUUACUUAAUCUGAUAAGUUCAUUCAUUCAACAUUCAUUCAUGGGUCAAAAUUGUCAGCAUAUAGCAGUGAAUAAAACAAAAAUGGUAAUCUCAACCAUUAUGGAAUUUACAUCUAUUGAGGGAGACACUCAAGAAAUAAGAUAAAUAAGUAAAAUAUAUAGCAUGUUAAGAAGAAAUAAGUGAUGAGAAAAAUUAAACAGAAGGGAACAGGAGUUGAGGAGGGGAUAAAAUUUUAAAUAGGGCAGCUGGGAAGGUGAUGUUUUAGCAAAGAGGUUUACUUACUAAAGAAAUUAGAAAGGAAGCUGAGGAGAAAGUGUCACAGGUAGGUGAAACAGCUUGUGGAAAAGUCCUGGGGUAAGAAUGUGGCUAACUG
Equus caballus (horse) is the source of this 2819-nucleotide long non-coding RNA. The record is from Ensembl. NCBI's taxonomy places the organism in Eukaryota, Metazoa, Chordata, Mammalia, Perissodactyla, Equidae.